CAGAUAGUAGUUUAAAACAAAACAUUGGCAUUGGAAGUCAAAAAACAAGAUAUCUUGCUAUCUGA
Non-coding RNA from Liolophura sinensis, 65 nucleotides. The record is from the annotation of a RefSeq genome assembly. NCBI's taxonomy places the organism in Eukaryota, Metazoa, Mollusca, Polyplacophora, Chitonida, Chitonidae.